This 506-nucleotide ribosomal RNA is filed under the name Scylla paramamosain (green mud crab). Its description in RNAcentral is "partial 16S ribosomal RNA". It matches the Rfam family "Bacterial large subunit ribosomal RNA", at positions 1910 to 2620 of the family's 2925-position model. The record is from RNAcentral. Lineage: Eukaryota; Metazoa; Arthropoda; Malacostraca; Decapoda; Portunidae.
GACAGAAAUGUUAAAUAGCCGCGGUAUUUUGACCGUGCAAAGGUAGCAUAAUCAUUAGUUUUUUAAUUGAAAACUUGUAUGAAUGGUUGGACAAAGAAAAAGCUGUCUCUUUUAUUUAAAUUGAAAUUAACUUCUAAGUGAAAAGGCUUAGAUUUUUUAGAGGGACGAUAAGACCCUAUAAAGCUUUAUAAGUUAAGUAAGUUAAAUUAAUUUUUUAAAAUAAAAAUAAGCUUAAAAAAUUUAUUUGGUUGGGGCGACAAUGGUAUAAAUUAAAUAACUGCUAUUAAAAUUAAGCAAUUAUAUUUGAUUAGAAUUAUAAUUGAUCCUUAUUAUGGAUUAAAAGAUCAAGUUACUUUAGGGAUAACAGCGUAAUUUCUUUUGAGAGUUCUUAUCAAAGAAGAAGUUUGCGACCUCGAUGUUGAAUUAAAAUGUCUUUAUAGUGCAGAAGCUAUAAAAGAAGGUCUGUUCGACCUUUAAUUUUUUACAUGAUCUGAGUUCAGACCGGA